GGGCCUAUAGUUUAGUGGUAGAAUUCUGGUCUCCAAAACCAGCGGCCGUGGUUCGAGUCCACGUGGGCCCGCAA
This 74-nucleotide transfer RNA is filed under the name bacterium. RNAcentral's name for it is "tRNA-Trp". It matches the Rfam family "tRNA". Rfam says of the family: Transfer RNA (tRNA) molecules are approximately 80 nucleotides in length. Their secondary structure includes four short double-helical elements and three loops (D, anti-codon, and T loops). Further hydrogen bonds mediate the characteristic L-shaped molecular structure. tRNAs have two regions of fundamental functional importance: the anti-codon, which is responsible for specific mRNA codon recognition, and the 3' end, to which the tRNAs corresponding amino acid is attached (by aminoacyl-tRNA synthetases). tRNAs cope with the degeneracy of the genetic code in two manners: having more than one tRNA (with a specific anti-codon) for a particular amino acid; and 'wobble' base-pairing, i.e. permitting non-standard base-pairing at the 3rd anti-codon position. The record is from RNAcentral.